Molecule: ribosomal RNA, 492 nt
Filed under: uncultured bacterium
Lineage: Bacteria
Description: partial 16S ribosomal RNA
Rfam family: Bacterial small subunit ribosomal RNA
Source: RNAcentral
AGUGAACGCUGGCGGUAGGCCUAACACAUGCAAGUCGAACGGCAGCACAGUAAGAUCUUGCUCUUACGGGGGGCGAGUGGCGGACGUGUGAGGAAUACAUCGUAAUCUACUUUUUCGGGGGGGAUAACGUAAGGAAACUUACUAUAAUACCGCAUACGAUCUACGGGUGAAAGCAUUGGAUCUUCGGACCUGUCGCGAUUGAAUGCGCCGAUGUCGGAGUUGCUAGUUGGCGGGGUGAAUGCCCACCAAGGCGACGAUUCGCAGCUGGUCUGAGAGGAUGAUCAGCGACCCUGGAGCGGGGCCAGGCUCCAGGCUACUACGGGAGGGAGCAGUCGGGAAUGUGGGACAAUGGGCGCAAGCAUUGUACAGCCAGACCGAGUGGGUGAAGAAGGCCUUCGGGUUGUGAAGACCUUUUGUUGGGAAAGAAAAGCAGCAGGUUAAUACCACGCUGUUCUGACGGUACCCAAAGAAUAAGCACCGGCUAACUUCGUG